Saccostrea cuccullata (small rock oyster) is the source of this 253-nucleotide long non-coding RNA. RefSeq lists it as uncharacterized. The record is from RefSeq and is a predicted model, not a curated record. The transcript has 3 exons. Lineage: Eukaryota; Metazoa; Mollusca; Bivalvia; Ostreida; Ostreidae.
AUUGUGCUUGCAUACAAGUUUAUAACCCGGUCUGUGGAGUAAACGGAAGGACGUAUUCUAACUCAGGAUGUGCCGGGUGUGCAGGUGUUUCCGUACAGUGUAUGGGGGAGUGUCCGUGUAGAAACCCAAGGAACCCAGGGAACUGUGCCUGUCCGUUUAUAUACGACCCGGUCUGUGGAUUUAAUGGUAGGACCUAGAGUAACAGCUGUACUGCACGCUGCAGUGGAGUAUUUUUCUAUUGGCGGGGAAGAUG